Molecule: transfer RNA, 88 nt
Filed under: Biscogniauxia mediterranea
Lineage: Eukaryota; Fungi; Ascomycota; Sordariomycetes; Xylariales; Xylariaceae
Description: tRNA-Glu
Source: RNAcentral
UCCGAAUUGGUGUAAUGGUCAACAUUUAACGUUCUCAUGCCAUAGUGCGUGGUCCGUCAAGCCCAGGGUUCGAUUUCCUGAUUCGGAG